Molecule: long non-coding RNA, 1191 nt
Organism: Cyprinus carpio carpio
Lineage: Eukaryota; Metazoa; Chordata; Actinopteri; Cypriniformes; Cyprinidae
Source: Ensembl
ACAUACAUGCACGCUGUAGACCUUUAACCACAUAAGGCUGCAUCAGAUUUAUUUAAUAAUCCAUGAAGCACUUCAUCCAGUAGCUUUUCUCUCCGUGACAACAAACGCAGACUUUUAUUAUGUUGUUAGCAGUUAGUAGAGUAGGCGAGGGAGGAGCAGAGUAAAUUUAUUCUGACGUCACACAGGAGCAAUUCGACUAGGAGCAAUUGCAAUUCAGAUAUCUUAAACUAUAAUUGUGACUAGUCGAAAUUAAAUUAGAGAUAUUACAUUUGUGGAUGAAUGACGCGUCCAUUGAAGAUAUCUAUAAAGUAAUUACAGAUAUCUUAAAUGGAGUUUUGACUAGUCAUAAAGUAUUUAUCUCUAAUCCGAUUUUUUACUAGUGCAGUUAUAAUAGCAGAUAUCUCUAAUUGUGAUUGUGACUAGUGGAAUUAUAAUUAUGACUAUCCGAAUUACAAUUGUGACUAUCCGAAAUUAUAUUUAUGGAUAGUCAAACCAAGUUUUAAAUGCUAACACGGCUUGCGAUAUUGGACUAGCACCUGUAGAGAAGCAUGUCCAUUGCCUGCAGUCAGACACAAAUAUCCCGCUACGUUUUUCUUAUUUAUUACGCUACGUUUUUUUUUUGCCUGAUGUAGAUAUUCUUUUAUGAAGGGUAACUUUGUUAAUUGUAAAACAAUUAAAAUAAUAGGCCUAACUAAAUGUCUUGUUUUCUCUUUUAGGAGUUUUUUUCUUUCUAAGCAGGAUGGCACUAGGAAAAUUUUAUUCACCCUAUUGGGUUUGUGGUGUGCUGUUCAUUCUACAACUAGAGUUGGCGCUUCAACAACAGAGUCUACAACUUCAGGAUAUACAGCUUCAGAAAUCACAACUGUACUUUCCACUCCAACCUCAGCAACAUCAGACCCGGCCACAUCUGAUUCUACAGGAACAACAACGGUUAUAUCUUCAGAAACACUUGCUUCAACAACCAUGCCUACAUCUUCAGAAACGACAGCUGCAGUUGAAACCACAAAUACUGCAUCCACAACCACAACUGAGCCUUCCACUACUAAAGAUGUGACAACGAUAUCACUUGAAUUCACAACAACUGAACUCACUACAACUUCAGAGAAAACAACAGCAGAAACCACAACUACAGCUUCAUCAACCACACCUAUAACAACAAACGAUCCAACAACAUCAACAGCUGUAACUUCA